AUUUGCAAACAUAUAUAAAAAAUGUUAGAUGUACUUAGGAGUAGGCCAUGGCGAUAACACUGAAAACUGAAAAAGGAGUCCAAUAUAAAUUUCAAAGUGCUUUAUCCUGAUCUAGAACGUUGCACUAGUGACCACUAUACUAUUUCUUUUAUUU
Long non-coding RNA from Juglans microcarpa x Juglans regia, 154 nucleotides. RefSeq lists it as uncharacterized. The record is from RefSeq and is a predicted model, not a curated record. The transcript has 2 exons. NCBI's taxonomy places the organism in Eukaryota, Viridiplantae, Streptophyta, Magnoliopsida, Fagales, Juglandaceae.